GUCAAAUUGUCAAGGAUGAUGAAUUGCCGAGCAGUUUGAUGAUAUUUUUAUUACUUGGAAGGGGAACACGAUGUCAAGUCCUCUAUUGGUUCACAUAGAUAUGCGCUCUGUUUCUGUGGAGCUUGAGAUUCUUGGCAGGCAUCAGCACCCUGAAUUGACCAUUCCCUUUUUAAA
Molecule: non-coding RNA, 174 nt
Organism: Prunus avium (sweet cherry)
Lineage: Eukaryota; Viridiplantae; Streptophyta; Magnoliopsida; Rosales; Rosaceae
Source: RefSeq, a predicted model, not a curated record